Molecule: ribosomal RNA, 434 nt
Filed under: Streptococcus mitis
Lineage: Bacteria; Bacillati; Bacillota; Bacilli; Lactobacillales; Streptococcaceae
Description: bacterial SSU rRNA
Rfam family: Bacterial small subunit ribosomal RNA
Source: RNAcentral
GGAGGAGCUUGCUUCUCUGGAUGAGUUGCGAACGGGUGAGUAACGCGUAGGUAACCUGCCUGGUAGCGGGGGAUAACUAUUGGAAACGAUAGCUAAUACCGCAUAAUAGUAGAUGUUGCAUGACAUUUGCUUAAAAGGUGCAAUUGCAUCACUACCAGAUGGACCUGCGUUGUAUUAGCUAGUUGGUGAGGUAACGGCUCACCAAGGCGACGAUACAUAGCCGACCUGAGAGGGUGAUCGGCCACACUGGGACUGAGACACGGCCCAGACUCCUACGGGAGGCAGCAGUAGGGAAUCUUCGGCAAUGGACGGAAGUCUGACCGAGCAACGCCGCGUGAGUGAAGAAGGUUUUCGGAUCGUAAAGCUCUGUUGUAAGAGAAGAACGAGUGUGAGAGUGGAAAGUUCACACUGUGACUUUAUCUACCAGAAAGGAC